AUGCAGCACCGGAUCUACUGUUCAAAAUGCCACGUAUCUGGACGCCUAGCCUUUGAACGAGAAGGAAGCUCUAGCGACAUCGCGUCGCGUGCGAGCAAAGGACCGGAGCACGUAGCGGCCGACGUGCGCCCGCGACACAGCCCGCGGUUUACCAUACCAUACCACGUAUCGUGCCAACGCGACACAGCAGCGGCGAACACACAGCAGCGAGGUCACUGGAAGCAGAAAGGAAACCAACGAGAAAAGAGACGAGAGAACACCCGAGACCGGAGACCCGGCCCAACGGCCCCUCCACUUGAGAACAAAAAACAAGAGACACCCUGGGCCGCGGGCCCCAAAGCCUGUUAG
Molecule: ribosomal RNA, 348 nt
Filed under: Triticum aestivum (bread wheat)
Lineage: Eukaryota; Viridiplantae; Streptophyta; Magnoliopsida; Poales; Poaceae
Description: partial small subunit ribosomal RNA
Source: RNAcentral